GCGGAGUUGACGUUGGAUGCCGUGAGGGAUACCCUCAUCCGGAUGGAGGACACCAUCGUCUUCGUGCUCAUUGAGAGGGCCAAGCACCCCUACAACGCCCCGGCCUACGACGCUUCCUACUGUGGCGGUGACCGGUGCCUCGUCGAUCUCUUCAUCCGCGAUGCCGAGGCUCUCCAGUGUAAGGUAGGACGGUAUCAGAAUCCAGAGGAGGUCCCGUUCUUCCCUGAUGAUUUACCUGCUCCCCAAGUCCCUGCUUUCAACUACCCUCAGGUGUUGCAUCCAAAAGCUGCUUCUGCUAAUGCGAGCGAAGCCAUAUGGGAUAUGUAUUUCAAUGAUCUGCUUCCCCUCAUCACUUCGAAGGGUGAUGAUGGUUGCUAUGCAUCCACAGCAGCAUUAGAUCUCGUGUGCUUGCAGGCUCUAUCUAAGAGGAUCCAUUACGGGAAGUUUGUAGCAGAAGUGAAGUUCAGAGAUGCCCCAGAGGAUUAUAGCACUGCAAUUCGGUCUCAGGACAAGGAUGCUCUGAUGAAAAUGCUUACAUUUGUUAAAGUUGAGGAGAUGGUUAAGAAAAGGGUGGAGAAGAAGGCUAUGGUGUUCGGCCAGAAUGUGAUCCUCUGUGCUAAGCCUGACACAGAACACGGUGAGGCCCAAUAUAAGGUCGAUCCUUCUGUUGUUAAUCGGCUCUAUGCAGAUUGGGUUAUGCCUCUGACGAAGAUUGUGGAAGUUGAGUAUCUU
Molecule: unclassified non-coding RNA, 732 nt
Filed under: Hevea brasiliensis (rubber tree)
Lineage: Eukaryota; Viridiplantae; Streptophyta; Magnoliopsida; Malpighiales; Euphorbiaceae
Source: RNAcentral